Molecule: ribosomal RNA, 393 nt
Filed under: uncultured bacterium
Lineage: Bacteria
Description: partial 16S ribosomal RNA
Rfam family: Bacterial small subunit ribosomal RNA
Source: RNAcentral
AUACGUAGGGGGCAAGCGUUAUCCGGAUUUACUGGGUGUAAAGGGAGCGUAGACGGAAGGCCAAGUCUGAUGUGAAAGCCCGCGGCUCAACUGCGGGACUGCAUUGGAAACUGGUCAUCUGGAGUGCAGGAGAGGGUAGUGGAAUUCCGAGUGUAGGGGUGAAAUCCGUAGAUAUUCGGAGGAACAACGGUGGCGAAGGCGGCUACCUGGACCGAUACUGACGCUGAGACGCGAAAGCGUGGGGAGCAAACAGGAUUAGAUACCCUGGUAGUCCACGCCGUAAACGAUGAGUGCUAGGUGUUGGGGGUCAAACCUCGGUGCCGCAGCUAACGCAUUAAGCACUCCGCCUGGGGAGUACGUACGCAAGUAUGAAACUCAAAGGAAUCGACGGGG